RNAcentral lists this ribosomal RNA (322 nucleotides) under uncultured eukaryote. Its description in RNAcentral is "partial 18S ribosomal RNA". It matches the Rfam family "Eukaryotic small subunit ribosomal RNA", at positions 1470 to 1796 of the family's 1831-position model. The record is from RNAcentral.
CCCUUAGAUGGUCUGGGCGGCACGCGCGCUACAAUGAUGCAUUCAAAAAGUCUUCUGACCUUAGAAGGUUGGGUAUUCUCCAAAGUGCAUCGUGAUGGGAAUAGUUUAUUGCAAUUUUUAAUCUUGAACGAGGAAUUCCUAGUAAGUACAGGUCAUCAACUUGUGUUGAUUACGUCCCUGCCCUUUGUACACACCGCCCGUCGCUCCUACCGAUUGGGUGUGCUGGUGAAAUGUUCGGAUCGGCCGUUUGUCGCGGUUUCCGCGGCUCGUGGCUGAGAAGUUCAUUAAACCCUCCCACCUAGAGGAAGGAGAAGUCGUAACA